UACGUAGGGUGCGAGCGUUAAUCGGAAUUACUGGGCGUAAAGCGUGCGCAGGCGGUUGUGCAAGACAGAUGUGAAAUCCCCGGGCUUAACCUGGGAAUGGCAUUUGUGACUGCACAGCUAGAGUGUGUCAGAGGGAGGUAGAAUUCCGCGUGUAGCAGUGAAAUGCGUAGAUAUGCGGAGGAAUACCGAUGGCGAAGGCAGCCUCCUGGGAUAACACUGACGCUCAUGCACGAAAGCGUGGGGAGCAAACAGG
RNAcentral lists this ribosomal RNA (253 nucleotides) under uncultured bacterium. RNAcentral describes it as "partial 16S ribosomal RNA". It matches the Rfam family "Bacterial small subunit ribosomal RNA", at positions 524 to 776 of the family's 1533-position model. The record is from RNAcentral.